Molecule: ribosomal RNA, 240 nt
Filed under: uncultured Lactobacillus sp.
Lineage: Bacteria; Bacillati; Bacillota; Bacilli; Lactobacillales; Lactobacillaceae
Description: partial 16S ribosomal RNA
Rfam family: Bacterial small subunit ribosomal RNA
Source: RNAcentral
UAACCUGCCCAAGAGAUCGGGAUAACACCUGGAAACAGAUGCUAAUACCGGAUAACAACAGAUGAUGCCUAUCAACUGUUUAAAAGAUGGUUCUGCUAUCACUCUUGGAUGGACCUGCGGUGCAUUAGCUAGUUGGUAGGGUAACGGCCUACCAAGGCGAUGAUGCAUAUCCGAGUUGAGAGACUGAUCGGCCACAUUGGGACUGAGACACGGCCCAAACUCCUACGGGAGGCAGCAGGA